AUUGAACGCUAGCGGUAUGCUUUACACAUGCAAGUCGAACGGCAGCGCGGACUUCGGUCUGGCGGCGAGUGGCGAACGGGUGAGUAAUGUAUCGGAACGUGCCCAGUAGCGGGGGAUAACUACGCGAAAGCGUAGCUAAUACCGCAUACGCCCUACGGGGGAAAGCAGGGGAUCGUAAGACCUUGCACUAUUGGAGCGGCCGAUAUCGGAUUAGCUAGUUGGUGAGGUAACGGCUCACCAAGGCGACGAUCCGUAGCUGGUUUGAGAGGACGACCAGCCACACUGGAACUGAGACACGGCCCAGACUCCUACGGGAGGCAGCAGUGGGGAAUUUUGGACAAUGGGGGCAACCCUGAUCCAGCCAUCCCGCGUGUGCGAUGAAGGCCUUCGGGUUGUAAAGCACUUUUGGCAGGAAAGAAACGUCGCGGGCUAAUACCCCGUGGAACUGACGGUACCUGCAGAAUAAGCACCGGCUAACUACGUG
This 484-nucleotide ribosomal RNA is filed under the name uncultured bacterium. RNAcentral describes it as "partial 16S ribosomal RNA". It matches the Rfam family "Bacterial small subunit ribosomal RNA", at positions 30 to 507 of the family's 1533-position model. The record is from RNAcentral.